UACAGAGGGGGCAAGCGUUGUUCGGAAUUACUGGGCGUAAAGGGCGCGUAGGCGGCCUGCUAAGUCGAACGUGAAAUCCCCGGGCUCAACCCGGGAACUGCGUCCGAUACUGGAAGGCUUGAAUCCGGGAGAGGGAUGCGGAAUUCCAGGUGUAGCGGUGAAAUGCGUAGAUAUCUGGAGGAACACCGGUGGCGAAGGCGGCAUCCUGGACCGGCAUUGACGCUGAGGCGCGAAAGCCGGGGGAGCAAACGGG
This 253-nucleotide ribosomal RNA is filed under the name uncultured bacterium. RNAcentral describes it as "partial 16S ribosomal RNA". It matches the Rfam family "Bacterial small subunit ribosomal RNA", at positions 524 to 776 of the family's 1533-position model. The record is from RNAcentral.